Molecule: non-coding RNA, 534 nt
Organism: Danio rerio (zebrafish)
Lineage: Eukaryota; Metazoa; Chordata; Actinopteri; Cypriniformes; Danionidae
Source: RefSeq, a predicted model, not a curated record
CGCGCGCGUUCAUCACAGAAGAGCAUUCGCGGCAACGCGCGCGUUGUCCUGACAACAAGGAUUCACAAACAAACGCAGUUUCUUAACGGUCGUUUAGCAAUCUUUUGUCCGUUUUGUCUCCUUAUUUCGGUCGCGAAAUGAAGAUAAAAUACGUGUUUGUUGAUAUAUUAACUGUAAAUGCCAUUCACAUAUGAACACUAACGUAACACAGUUAAAAUAAAAAGUCACGGUCAAAGGACAAAAGAGAGGGCUACGUUUUUUGGAGAAGCUGGACCAUUUUGACCUUAUCAUCUUCAGCGGUAUAAUUCAGCGAAAUCAAUGAUGUGCAGGGGUUUAAAAAGUACAGCUUGGGAAAUAUAAAGAUGAUGGUUAUUUUAAAGAAGAAGCCUGACACAUUGGAGACUUAACCAUCUUCAAAGGACAAUGCUACAAUUCAAGGAAGUCGACAGUUGUCUCAAUUAUACAGUUUUGCCUUUUUUUUGUACCAUAGUCUAAGUUUGUAUUUUGAUUGCCUAGAAGGUAUUUCUUAUUAAA